GCCAUCAUAUUCCUCUCCACUUCUUCUUCUCUCCGUCGCUCGAUCUAAAAUAAAAACCUUAAUUUAUCUGAUUUCAUUUUCCUUUUGGAGAUUGAAUAGGAAGUCCCAGUCAGUCAAUCGAUGUUUAUUUGGUCUCUCUAUAGAUCUCUAAUACCUAGUUCAGAAAAAAACAUUUAUGCUUCAAAUUGAUAGGGUACGCAGUAAACAGUGCGGUUUGCUAUUUCUAUGUUUUUGUUUUGUGGAUCACGAGUAUUUUGUUGUUACUUUGUGGAUUUAGGGCAUACCAAUUUGAUACUGAAACUGAUGUUCGAUCAAGUUUAAGCGGCUUGGGUUUUUUAUGGGAUGAGGGAUGUACAGGGGAUGAAUUUUUUUUCCAGAAAUGCACCGUUAAGAUGUGCAAGAUUGAUGAAGUUGAUAUAGAAGACUUUGUCUCUCUCCCAGAAUUAGAUGGUUGUCAAGGAUGGGUUAGCUUCCAGCACGCAGCAUCGAUGACAAAGUUUGUCUGGCUUUGUCAUAUAUAUCAAAUUGCAAAGACAAAUGCGUGGGUUCGCAUUCCGAAAGAUUUGUGGUAGUGUUGUUCUUUUUUUGAUUCCUGAAGCUCUAGUAAAAGUACACAUAUUUGUUCAUGUGAUUACUCUCCUUCUUCCUUGGUGCUUUGCCUAAACCUAAUCUGACUUUGAUUUGAUUUUGUGGCAAUCCACCUGUAAAGGCCUUUUCAAAUGAGUUUUUAAGCGCAAUUUUUUUGUCAUUCAGUUUUAUGUCGUUUAGUUGCAGGUAACUCUUAUAUCCCCAGCUGUGAUAUUCAAUAUCUUCGUAGCUUCGUUGUUAUGUAUUUUAUCUGAAUAUUUAAGUUGUGUGAUUACAUGUCUCCUGCAUUGUCUUUCAUCCACUUGUCAUACACAAUUCGUUUAUCUGAAUUAUCAUAAAACUUGGAUGCACCAUACCCAAUCAAAGAAAUUGAUGCAAGUUUUUUAAACUGUAAAUCCCUUUCGUACAUGCUGAGUUUAUUUUAGUGGGAUGAACUGCUGAGAAUCGUUAAAUAAUGCUAUAACUUGUUAAUGGAAUAGAAAGUUAGUUUGGAAUGAAGAUUCACUUUAUAUCCUCUACAUCCACCAUUGUUGUCUUACAAAAACUGUAAGUCGAUGCUUAUUGCUGUCGAAGGUGUUUUCAAGCUUAUGGUUGACCAUCCAUACUAGGAUGGGCAGCCAACUUUAAUCUGGCUUAUUAUUUGUUUUCGCAUUAUGUCUCAGUUGUGUUUUUAUUGUGGCCAUUUUUGUUAUUAAUGGUUAUUGUACGUUGUUUUAUCUGAUAUGUGGAGUUGUUCUCGUCUGUAGAUUCGGGCCACAACCAAACUUAAAGCUUUUAUUGAUGACGAUAAGCCUGAUGGUUGCAUUUGAUUGAGGUGAAAACUGAGUUCAUUCUGACAGCACCAAAGAUCUGCAAAUACCGUGAUAAGAGAUUGGUUGCUCAACGAAAUGGAAAACUGGCCAUACAAGUCUUUCAGAUGAUCCCAUGUAUGUAACGUGAAGUGUGGAUCAACUUUCUAAAUGGUUUACAUCUGGGCUAGCUGGUUAUCCCACUAUGUUAAGCGAAGAUGAAGCCUUGGUAAUUUAAUCAUGUUGAGUUUUCCGAUCUUAGACUGGUAUCCCAUUGUUGUGCCUUUCUGAUAAGUAGUCUGUGAUGAGUAUACCAGUCGACAAAUUCCAGCUUGGAGAGCCCCAAACAAAUGAGUUGUUUCCCAUCUUGUGAAGCUAAAAAGAAGAUGUCAACCGCGUUUCUUCAGGUUAAAGUCCAACUGAUAAAUCCAUGAUAUAUUAAGUUAUUUCUUAGCCUAUUUUGUAUUUGUGGUGAGAAGAUGUUUCUGGCAAUUGUGCAGCUUAAGAUAUUGUAUUAUAACUUGACAAGUACACAUUUCUUUAUGUUCUCUUCUUUUAAAGCCAAGUGACAUCCUCGCAACAGAGUUUGGAGGAGCCCUUGCAGUGUUAGCUUGGACAAGCAUCUUCAGUAAGCAAGUGCCGAGUAGACACAUAAUGAAAGUGGAGUUGGUAUUCUGAAACAUUGUUGGAGGCUUCCCUUCCGACUCUUUUAUGCCAACGCGUUUACAUGUUUUGAUUCUUCCUAAUUUCAUUGAUAUGUAUUCCUUAUUAUUAACUCAAGUAGAAUCCAUAUGUCAACAUAGAUGUAAAAUCUUAUUGGUUUUUCACGAUAUUAUCAGAUUCAAUGCCAUGUUUGGCAA
Molecule: long non-coding RNA, 2236 nt
Organism: Papaver somniferum (opium poppy)
Lineage: Eukaryota; Viridiplantae; Streptophyta; Magnoliopsida; Ranunculales; Papaveraceae
Exons: 5
Source: RefSeq, a predicted model, not a curated record